CCAAAUAGGUUGUUCUCCUCCCCACCCACUUUGAGCUUUUGCUCUUAAGUACAUUCAGGUUCCAAGCCUGACCAUGCUUGUUUAAUCUAAUUACCAUACUCUUCCAGGUCUUUUCUGGUCCAAGGCUGGAACGUUGAUAGUUAUUUCUCUGUGUUACUUUUUUUUUUUAAUGUAUUUAUAGUGGUAAUCUAAGAGGUUCUAACAUUUACCUGAAAUUAAAUGUGGCCAUUUAGUCAUU
RNAcentral lists this long non-coding RNA (238 nucleotides) under Bos taurus (domestic cattle). Its description in RNAcentral is "long non-coding RNA NONBTAT022180". The record is from RNAcentral. Lineage: Eukaryota; Metazoa; Chordata; Mammalia; Artiodactyla; Bovidae.